Molecule: long non-coding RNA, 2008 nt
Organism: Cucumis sativus (cucumber)
Lineage: Eukaryota; Viridiplantae; Streptophyta; Magnoliopsida; Cucurbitales; Cucurbitaceae
Exons: 2
Source: RefSeq, a predicted model, not a curated record
UUGGAAUUGAUAUACAAUGACACUGCUGUAUUACUAGAGAUGGCCAGAAACUUUAGAGGAAUUUUAAUGGUUUUAGACAAGAGACCAACUUACAAACUGCAAUAACUAUAUAUUGAGUUUGAUAUAAGUGUGAAGUCUAAUUGAUUGUUAACUGAAGAGAACAACAAUCUUACAUCCAUCAACUCCAUUGGUUUGAAUCCCAUUAUUUUUUUCAAUUGAUUGCUUAUCAAGGUUGUUGAGCUGGAUGAGGAGUAGUUGUACUUCUACAGAGAAGAAUGUGAUCCAUUUAGAACAUAUAGAUGAAGUCUUUAAAAGGGAAUUUAGUUUGGGAUCAAUGAAUUCAUAUUAUCACAUCAAAAAGCGUUAGAAUCAGAAAAAGAAGGAAAAAGAAAACAAGAAGUGAAUGAUCUCAUUCGCCAUUGCCACCGCUCAAGUUAGGUAGAAAAGGCAAGAAGUAGCUGUGUUUGGAGACACUGUUGCUCAAACAUGUGUCACAAUAAACUGCGCCCACUAUUGUGAUUCGAGUGACUGACGUUAGAGCUUCAGCUGUUCGGCCAAACAAACUAGUGAAGAAAGAUGUUAAAACAAGGAGAAGAAGGAGAGAAAUGGUGGGAUCCAUAAGAAACAUUCAAUGAAGUGGAGGAGGUUUUGCGAGAAGCAUCAAUGGGUAAGAUCUUAAAAUUUUCAAGUGAUUGUUUGCUAUAUACUGUUUGCAUAUAAUGUGCCCGUGAGUUCUUGGUGUUAGACCAACUGUAAUCAGAAAAGAAAAAAUGAUUAUUCUAUUCACUACAAACAAAGACAUGUGAAGUACCUUUUUGGAUGAAUGUGGGGGCAAGUGUAAAAUGAAAGGGGUUUUGUGGUUAGUCUUUUAAGGCGGAUUCAGAGAUAAAUGGGAUGAUUAAAAGGCUAUUUGAUUUCCUAGAUCUGGAAAGAUGCAAGGAAGAAACUUUUCAUAUUUCUACUGACUACCCAAUAAGUGGAACUUCAUUAUAUUUAGGACCCAGAAAAAUGCCACGAGAAAAGAAGAAAAAAUUUCUAUGAUACCAAAUGAAGCCCUUGUUAGGCAAUUUCAUAGGAUUCAUUUAGGAACUGCCCUGAAUUUAAGCUCCGGUUGAUUGGGAAAAGGAUUCAUUUUUAGCCUAAAUCCUCUGCCCUUCUAGACUGUCUAGUUGUUGCAUGGGUGCCACGGCGUCUAGACUUUAUAUAUAUCCCUCUUAUUUGUCUGUUUUCAUUUCAUUUGAUUAUUCUAAAUACUUGUAUAAGAAGCUAAAAAGAUCUUAAUCUUAAAGCAUCUAAAACAAUAUAAAAGGAUUGGCUGAAUUAUAAGCUCGGUGCUCGCCGUUGCAAAUAAAGCUUUGGUUAAGCAUGUAUUGUCUCUUUUGCAUGCUUCCCCUGUACUCAACUGUUUUGCUUGUUUCUUAUGAUGUUGGGAACACAACAAACACAGCAACGAAUAAACAAAAAACAAAAAGAUGUAUUAACUUAACAAAACUUAUAAUUGAAAAGGCAGCAGAAAAAAGGGUCAGAUGAGCUGCUAAAAUAACGAUAUAUAGCGUCAACUUUUACAAAGGCCCAAUAUCAUAUUUCUGAUCAUGACAUUCGAAACAUCGAUCAACUUUUUGAAGAUCUGGAUGAAAACCCUUUAGUUUCAUGCCUUUCUAAAAUUUAUGUUUGAGUUCAACCAUUUGUAGACUAGAUAUUCAAUUUUUUGGUCUGUUAGGUUGAGAUUUCAUACUUUAUAUCAAUUAAGUUAUAGUCAUCAGCUUUUUACUUAGUCUAUUAGCCUUUUUUAUCGAUAAAAUUGUAUAGAAACUUUCACAUUUAUUAUAGUUCACAUGAAUAUUCUUUUGCUGGAAGUAUGAAUUUUCUUCUUCUUCUGCUUCUUCUGCCUUGUGAAUGUUUAUCAUUUGUCUUUCUUUUUCUUUUUUUUCUCUUGCUGCACUUUGUGUACUAAAAGUUGAAGAUAAUUUGGAAAAAGAAACCCAUGGGAAUGAUCACUUUUUAAAAA